Molecule: ribosomal RNA, 465 nt
Filed under: Vreelandella stevensii
Lineage: Bacteria; Pseudomonadati; Pseudomonadota; Gammaproteobacteria; Oceanospirillales; Halomonadaceae
Description: partial 16S ribosomal RNA
Rfam family: Bacterial small subunit ribosomal RNA
Source: RNAcentral
CCUACGGGGGGCUGCAGUGGGGAAUAUUGGACAAUGGGGGGAACCCUGAUCCAGCCAUGCCGCGUGUGUGAAGAAGGCCCUCGGGUUGUAAAGCACUUUCAGUGAGGAAGAACGCCUGGUGGUUAAUACCCAUCAGGAAAGACAUCACUCACAGAAGAAGCACCGGCUAACUCCGUGCCAGCAGCCGCGGUAAUACGGAGGGUGCGAGCGUUAAUCGGAAUUACUGGGCGUAAAGCGCGCGUAGGUGGCUUGAUAAGCCGGUUGUGAAAGCCCCGGGCUCAACCUGGGAACGGCAUCCGGAACUGUCAAGCUAGAGUGCAGGAGAGGAAGGUAGAAUUCCCGGUGUAGCGGUGAAAUGCGUAGAGAUCGGGAGGAAUACCAGUGGCGAAGGCGGCCUUCUGGACUGACACUGACACUGAGGUGCGAAAGCGUGGGUAGCAAACAGGAUUAGAUAUCCCGGUAGUC